This 502-nucleotide ribosomal RNA is filed under the name uncultured bacterium. RNAcentral's name for it is "partial 16S ribosomal RNA". It matches the Rfam family "Bacterial small subunit ribosomal RNA", at positions 30 to 523 of the family's 1533-position model. The record is from RNAcentral.
AUUGAACGCUGGCGGCAUGCCUUACACAUGCAAGUCGAACGGCAGCACGGGAGCUUGCUCCUGGUGGCGAGUGGCGAACGGGUGAGUAAUACAUCGGAACGUACCCAGGAGUGGGGGAUAACGUAGCGAAAGUUACGCUAAUACCGCAUAUUCUGUGAGCAGGAAAGCGGGGGAUCGCAAGACCUCGCGCUCUUGGAGCGGCCGAUGUAGGAUUAGCUAGUUGGUGAAGUAAAAGCUCACCAAGGCGACGAUCCGUAGCAGGUCUGAGAGGAUGAUCUGCCACACUUGGACUGAGACACGGCCCAGACUCCUACGGGAGGCAGCAGUGGGGAAUUUUGGACAAUGGUGGCAACCCUGAUCCAGCCAUGCCGCGUGAGUGAAGAAGGCCUUCGGGUUGUAAAGCUCUUUCGGCGGGGAAGAAAUGGCAACGGCUAAUAUCCGUUGUUGAUGACGGUACCCGCAUAAGAAGCACCGGCUAACUACGUGCCAGCCGCCGCCGUAA